This 279-nucleotide signal recognition particle RNA is filed under the name Chinchilla lanigera (long-tailed chinchilla). RNAcentral's name for it is "Metazoan signal recognition particle RNA (ENSCLAG00000022001.1)". It matches the Rfam family "Metazoan signal recognition particle RNA". From Rfam's summary of the family: The signal recognition particle (SRP) is a universally conserved ribonucleoprotein. Lineage: Eukaryota; Metazoa; Chordata; Mammalia; Rodentia; Chinchillidae. The record is from RNAcentral.
GCCAGGCGUGGUGGCCUGCGCCUCUAGUCCCAGCUACUCGGGAGGCUGAGGUGGGAGGAUUGCUUGAGUCCAGGAGUUCUGGGCUGCCGUGGGCUACGCCGACUGGGUGUCUGCACUAAAUUCGGCAUCAGGAUGGCGACUUCCCAAGAGUAGGGGACCACCAGGUUGCCUAAGGAGGGGUGGACCGGCCCAGGUCGGAAAAGGAGCAGGUCAAAACAUGAAUGGCAACCAGCAAUCCUUGGUGAACAGGCUGAAGUGAAAAGUGAGAACUACGCCCCA